Molecule: ribosomal RNA, 529 nt
Filed under: uncultured bacterium
Lineage: Bacteria
Description: partial 16S ribosomal RNA
Rfam family: Bacterial small subunit ribosomal RNA
Source: RNAcentral
UGGGGAAUAUUGCACAAUGGGCGAAAGCCUGAUGCAGCAACGCCGCGUGAGUGAUGAAGGUCUUCGGAUUGCAAAGCUCUGUCUUUUGGGACGAUAAUGACGGUACCAAAGGAGGAAGCCACGGCUAACUACGUGCCAGCAGCCGCGGUAAUACGUAGGUGGCGAGCGUUGUCCGGAUUUACUGGGCGUAAAGGGUGCGUAGGCGGAUGUUUAAGUGAGAUGUGAAAUACCCGGGCUUAACUUGGGUGCUGCAUUUCAAACUGGAUAUCUAGAGUGCAGGAGAGGAGAAUGGAAUUCCUAGUGUAGCGGUGAAAUGCGUAGAGAUUAGGAAGAACACCAGUGGCGAAGGCGAUUCUCUGGACUGUAACUGACGCUGAGGCACGAAAGCGUGGGUAGCAAACAGGAUUAGAUACCCUGGUAGUCCACGCCGUAAACGAUGAGUACUAGGUGUAGGAGGUAUCGACCCCUUCUGUGCCGCAGUAAACACAUUAAGUACUCCGCCUGGGAAGUACGAUCGCAAGAUUAAAAC